This 468-nucleotide ribosomal RNA is filed under the name uncultured bacterium. RNAcentral's name for it is "partial 16S ribosomal RNA". It matches the Rfam family "Bacterial small subunit ribosomal RNA", at positions 28 to 507 of the family's 1533-position model. The record is from RNAcentral.
GACGAACGCUGGCGGCGUGCUUAACACAUGCAAGUCGAACGGAAAGGCCCUGCUUUUGUGGGGUGCUCGAGUGGCGAACGCGUGAGUAACACGUGAGUAUCCUGCCCUUGACUUUGGGGUAACUUCAGGAAACUGGGGCUAAUAUCGGAUAGGAGCUCCUGCUCCAUGGUGGGCGUUGGAUAGUUUCGGCGGUUGGGGAUGGACUCGCGGCUUAUCAGCUUGUUGGUGGGGUAGUGGCUUACCAAGGCUUUGACGGGUAGGCGGCAUGUGAGGGCGACCGGCCACAUGAGGACUGAGGGACGGCGCAGACUGGAACGGGAGGCAACAGGGGGAAGUAUGACACAGUGAGCGGGAGCGAGAGGAGGAAGCGUUGGGUGCGGAAAGACCGCUUUCGGGGUAAGAACAGCUGUCGCCUGAGACGAAGCGGGAGUGACGGUAAUGAAUAAAGAAGCACCGGCUAACUACGUG